This 300-nucleotide ribosomal RNA is filed under the name Gracilaria caudata. RNAcentral describes it as "Crassa caudata partial large subunit ribosomal RNA". It matches the Rfam family "Bacterial large subunit ribosomal RNA", at positions 2134 to 2431 of the family's 2925-position model. The record is from RNAcentral. Lineage: Eukaryota; Rhodophyta; Florideophyceae; Gracilariales; Gracilariaceae.
UUGCGCAGUAUAGGUGGGAGGCAAAGAUUAUAUAUUUGCGGAUGUAUAUGAGCCGCUAGUGAGAUACCACUCUAAUUAAACUAGAAUUCUAAUAUUGAUUGCCAUAAGCUGGCCAAUAAACAGUUUCAGGUGGGCAGUUUGACUGGGGCGGUCGCCUCCUAAAAGGUAACGGAGGCGUGCAAAGGUUUCCUCAGGCUGGUCGGAAAUCAGUCGUAGAGUGUAAAGGCAUAAGGAAGCUUGACUGCGAGACCUACAAGUCGAGCAGAGACGAAAGUCGGCCUUAGUGAUCCGACAGUGCUG